UACAGAGGUCUCAAGCGUUGUUCGGAUUCAUUGGGCGUAAAGGGUGCGUAGGCGGCGCGGUAAGUCGGGUGUGAAAUCUCGGAGCUUAACUCCGAAACUGCAUUCGAUACUGCCGUGCUUGAGGACUGGAGAGGAGACUGGAAUUUACGGUGUAGCGGUGAAAUGCGCAGAUAUCGGGAAGAACCCCCGUGGCGAAGGCGGUUCUCUGGGACGGUACUGACGCUGAGACGCGAAAGCGUGGGGAGCGAACAGG
Molecule: ribosomal RNA, 253 nt
Filed under: uncultured bacterium
Lineage: Bacteria
Description: partial 16S ribosomal RNA
Rfam family: Bacterial small subunit ribosomal RNA
Source: RNAcentral